AUGUUCAUAGCAGUACCCCAAACACGCCCUAACCACUCAGUCACAGUCUCAACUGUACCAGUGAACCCCAGUCAACAGACUUUGCCUAAGCCCAGGCAUCGGAUCAGGGCCACAAAUGCUCUUUUAGGAUUUUUAAAAUUGGAACCAAUGCUUCAUUCAGCUGGCUCAAUAUCCACUGGUCCAAACCACUGCUCCAGAGACACAACUGGCAAUUGGACCACCCAGCCCAACAGACCUUCAUCCUUGCAUCCCAACCUUCUAUGCCCUUGGAAAACAGUAUCAGUGGUCUAUCGCAAUGACCACCUUCCCAAAUCUCUGGAGGUGCCUUUAUCACAGCCAGAUCAGAAAACCAGGACUGCACCUGCAUGCGGUCCUCAUCAGCUACAGCAGGCUGGGGAUGCAACAGGUCCUGUGGCCCAUGGAUUAUUACAAAUGGAAAAAAAGCCCUGUGAAACAGUGCCAGUGAGAACAGGCCAAGAUCAAGGGACAAGACAACUUCCACUCAACUUACACCUCCAAGACAAAACUCUGCAUGUCCCUGACUACCAGGUGAUACCUCCUCCCCAUCCAGAGCAUCCUUCAUGUCCUAAUGCCCAGGUCUCACUUCAAAUGGAACAAGAACACAGGAAAACAAUGCCACUGGGAACUGGUAACCAGGCCCCGAACCUUACGGGACAGGAUCACUGGGUCAUCCCUCCUUUCCUGGGCAUGGAUGGCCAGAAAACAAUUCUUUUUGUCCCUCACUAUCAGGCCACACCUCCUCCCAGCCCUAACUAUCAGGCUGAGGACAUACCAGGCUCUGUUGCUUAUACCUUGAAAGCUGUGCCACCAAGAAUACGGCCCCAGGCCACAACUAUUGGUCAGGAUGGUGGGACAGCACCUCCAGUGGUCUCUCAUAAACAAGACAUCAAUCAACUGGGCACCAUGCCCCAAGCUACAGCUUCUCUCACCUCUGACUACCAGAGUGGGAAAGUGACACAUCCUAAUGCUCAGCUGACAUACCAGUCAGAUUUAGAACUAUGGGGAGCAAUGACAGGGGGAACAGACCACCAGAACAUGAGUCCCUUUGGAUGGGGUUAUGGGGCAACCUCUCCUCCCCAGAGCACAAAGAGCAGGGCAACAAUCCCACCUAGCUUUGACCACUGGACCGCAUCUCUACCCCAACCUGAAUUUCAGACUGAAGUUAAUCCUGACCCACACCAAGCCAUCCUUCUAGCCAGCCCUACUCACCAGCCUGAGGAUAUACAGGGGGACCCUAAGGCCCAGGUCUCCCUUCAGGAAGAACUCAAACAAUGUGAAACAAUACUAGAGGAAACAAACCAGCAGACCCCAAACCCCACUGAUCAUGACCAAGGGGCAAUACUUCGUCUGAGCACUGAUGACAAGGAAACAAUUUCCCCUGGCCCUGACCACUGCACCAUGUUACCGCCCAGCCCUGACCUCCAGGCUGAGAAUAUUCCAGACCCUAAUGACCAGGAUUCUUGGCAGCUGAAGCUAGAACACAGUGAAACAAUAGAGCCAGCAACAAAGCAGCAAUCCAAGAAUCCCUUUGGUGAGGACCCGGGGGGAACACUUCUUCCUUUGAGCAAAGAUAAACAGGAAACAACUCCCUGUGGGCCUGAUCUCCAGGACGUGUCUCAUCAUGGCCCAGACUAUCAAACUGAGGACAUACGAGAUGCCAGUGAUCAAGAUUCAGUUCAACCAGAACAACACUGGCAAAUUGUCCAACCUGGACCAGAUCAGCAGACCACAAAUCCCACUGACCAAGAUCACAUAGAAAUAAGUCUGAUUCUGGGUCCAGAGAACCAGGAAACAAUUCUCUUGGACACCGACCACCAAGCUGUACUUUCUCUUAGCCCUGUCUUCCAGGCUAUAGAUACAGCAAACCCUGGCACUGGGGUCUCAUGUAAAACAGGACAGAAAAACAAGGAAAGAAUGCCACUAGGAAGUGAACACAAGGCCACAACUCUCCUAGGCUAUGAUUUGGAAGCAACAGCUCCUCCACCGGGCUCUGACCUCCAGGAUAAAACCCUGCUUGGCCCUGGAAACCACAGCUCACUUCCAGCCAAUACUGAUCCAAAUGUGGGUACAUCAGGGCCAGCGACUGAUACCCUGAUGCGACCAGAACAAGGUUUCUGGGAAACAAUGCCUUUGAGAACAGAUCAACAGGUCACAGAUACAACUGGCUGUGAUCACUGGGUAACACCUCCUCCACCUGGAUCUGACCACCAGGCCACAUGUCCUCCCAGUCCUGACCUCUCUGGAGCUGUCAUCUCAAUUCAGAAAGAACAGGAAGAAUGGAAAACAUUGCCAAAAGAGAUCAGCCCCCAGGAUGCUCUCCUUUCAGAAGUGGAUAUCAUGCUCACACCCACAUUGGGCUUAGACAGCUCCCAAGACAAAACUCCGCCUAGCCCUGACUACAGGGCUACCUCUUCACAUAGCCCUGAUGAUCAGGCUAAAGAUACAAGAGAUCCCAUUGCCCCGACCUGGGUUCACACAGAGCAAGAGCCUGGGGAAACAGUGUCACUGACAAUAGACCAGCAGGCCAUGACUGCAAUGGGCCAGGAUCAGGAGGCAGCCACACCUCCCCCACACUUGGAAUCCCGGGGCACAGCUCAAUGUGGCCCUGACUGUCAGGCCAUACCUAUGUGUAGCCCUGACCACCAGGAUGAGAAUACAGCAGCCCUGGUCUCACUUCAGCCUCUAGCUAAUAUAUGGGAAGUAGUGCCACAGGAGAAAGACCAGCAGGCCACAAUUCUAAUGGACCUGGGAUUUAGGACAUCACCUCCAUUGCUGAUACACCCCCAGGACCCAACUCUGCGUGGCCUUGACUACCAGACCAUACCUCUUUUCAACCCAUCAGAAACUUUCUCAGAUCCCGAUCCUCAGAAUGCACCUCCAUGGCAUCCUGAGUGCUCAGCAAAAUGGUUAAUGGGUCCAGACCCCCAAGUCCCACACUCAACCAGUCUUGACCCCCAAGUCACUCCUCUGCCCAGUUCAAACCAGUCUGAAGCUAGAUUAGACUCUACCAAGCCCCAGGGCACAACACAAACACAGCUAUGUAAUCAGGAAACAGCUCUACUAAGCUUCACUAAGCACGGGGCUGUACUGCCCUCAGGUCCUGGUCUGCAGACUAAAUGUCCCAGAGGUCUUGGCCCCCAGGCUGAAGUUGGACCAAACGUUGACCCCCGAGUUGAUAUUCAAUCGAGACUCCAAUGCCAGACCCAGCCAGUGCUAAAGAGAAAAGCCUCCUGUUUAAAUUACAUCAAGCCACACACCGUGGAGGGGGGGAUUGUCCCCGACAGCAUAGUCCAGGCCAUCAUCAGUUCCAUCCCUCAGGAGAAAAUAAAAAAUGAUGUCUAUAAACAAAUUCUUCUACGAAAGAUGAAGAAAUUCUCCCCUUACAGGUCUAGCCGAUACAAUUCAUCUUAUUAUCCUGUCUGUUUACUUUGUGCAUCCUGGAUCCCAAAUGGCUGUCCCCAUAAGGGAAUGAAAUACCCAUCUGAAGCACAGUUGCUGGCUGUACCUACUCCUAUGCCUGGUUUUGAGGAACUGGGAGUGAGAUUUGUCCUCCAAAUGCCCCAUUUGGCAGCAUGCUCCUAUCUUGACUUUCCUUAUUCCCACUAUAGUCUGCAAAGGUACCCCUAUGGACCACCAGCUUUUUCAGCAUCAUCUUACUCUGAGCUUGGGCUCGCUAGGUCUUCUAGGCCAAAGUGGCCACACUUCAUACUUGGCAAAGCUCACCAGCCAGGGGAGACAAGCCAAGACCCAGAAUUCAUAAGGAAAAUGCCAGUGAGGAAGCACAGCCCCAGAGAAGAAGAGACUGGGAACGGGAGGACAUUUUUCAAAUCUCUGCUAGAGAGAUUUCAGUGGAAGCUGAAA
RNAcentral lists this long non-coding RNA (3882 nucleotides) under Phascolarctos cinereus (koala). Its description in RNAcentral is "lncRNA (ENSPCIG00000012971.2)". The record is from RNAcentral. Lineage: Eukaryota; Metazoa; Chordata; Mammalia; Diprotodontia; Phascolarctidae.